UUCUUCAUAGAGUAGUUAGAU
Molecule: non-coding RNA, 21 nt
Filed under: Caenorhabditis elegans
Lineage: Eukaryota; Metazoa; Nematoda; Chromadorea; Rhabditida; Rhabditidae
Source: RNAcentral